This 474-nucleotide ribosomal RNA is filed under the name uncultured bacterium. Its description in RNAcentral is "bacterial SSU rRNA". It matches the Rfam family "Bacterial small subunit ribosomal RNA", at positions 335 to 801 of the family's 1533-position model. The record is from RNAcentral.
ACUCCUACGGGAGGCAGCAGUAGGGAAUCUUCCACAAUGGGCGCAAGCCUGAUGGAGCAACACCGCGUGAGUGAAGAAGGGUUUCGGCUCGUAAAGCUCUGUUGUUAAAGAAGAACACGUAUGAGAGUAACUGUUCAUACGUUGACGGUAUUUAACCAGAAAGUCACGGCUAACUACGUGCCAGCAGCCGCGGUAAUACGUAGGUGGCAAGCGUUAUCCGGAUUUAUUGGGGCGUAAAGAGAGUGCAGGCGGUUUUCUAAGUCUGAUGUGAAAGCCUUCGGCUUAACCGGAGAAGUGCAUCGGAAGCUGGAUAACUUGAGUGCAGAAGAGGGUAGUGGAACUCCAUGUGUAGCGGUGGAAUGCGUAGAUAUAUGGAAGAACACCAGUGGCGAAGGCGGCUACCUGGUCUGCAACUGACGCUGAGACUCGAAAGCAUGGGUAGCGAACAGGAUUAGAUACCCUGGUAGGAUAGCG